This 101-nucleotide non-coding RNA is filed under the name Paraliobacillus sp. PM-2. RNAcentral describes it as "Purine riboswitch aptamer". It matches the Rfam family "Purine riboswitch aptamer". Rfam says of the family: Riboswitches are metabolite binding domains within certain messenger RNAs that serve as precision sensors for their corresponding targets. Allosteric rearrangement of mRNA structure is mediated by ligand binding, and this results in modulation of gene expression. Lineage: Bacteria; Bacillati; Bacillota; Bacilli; Caryophanales; Bacillaceae. RNAcentral also lists the same sequence under 1 other name. The record is from Rfam by way of RNAcentral.
UAUAAUUAAAUAAAAGUAACAUGUAUAAGCUUAAGAAUUGGCUUAAGCGUUUCUACCGGGUGACCGUAAAUCACUGGACUACAUGUAAGGAAAAUGACAGG